Molecule: long non-coding RNA, 207 nt
Filed under: Nicotiana benthamiana
Lineage: Eukaryota; Viridiplantae; Streptophyta; Magnoliopsida; Solanales; Solanaceae
Description: long non-coding RNA (NBEN_LNC037165)
Source: RNAcentral
UAUAUCACUGAAAUAUUCAGAAUUAGAAGGAAAUGAAAUAAACUGAGAUGCUUCAUUGAUGAAAAAGGCAAAUGCCUCAAUCUAAUAUAUCAAAGGUUUACAUCAGAGAUUUCACUUUUGUAGAAAAUUAAAAGGAACUGAAACACGAGUAAAACAGUCUAUUAUAAUGUACUAUCAACAUUAGGCUCUAAUAUAUAUAUAAUCCUU